GACGUAGGGGGCAAGCGUUAUUCGGAAUCAUUGGGCGUAAAGCGCUCGUAGGCGGAUCGAACAGUCGGUGAAGAAAGACCUGGGCUCAACUCAGGGAACGGCACCGAUACUAUCGGUCUUGAGGCAAUCAGAGGAUGAUGGAAUUCCCGGUGUAGCGGUGAAAUGCAUAGAUAUCGGGAAGAACACCGAUGGCGAAGGCAUUCUGCCGGGCCGACACUGACACUGAAAGACGAAAGCCAGGGGAGCGAAUGGG
This 253-nucleotide ribosomal RNA is filed under the name uncultured prokaryote. RNAcentral describes it as "partial 16S ribosomal RNA". It matches the Rfam family "Bacterial small subunit ribosomal RNA", at positions 524 to 776 of the family's 1533-position model. The record is from RNAcentral.